Molecule: transfer RNA, 103 nt
Filed under: Promethearchaeota archaeon
Lineage: Archaea; Promethearchaeati; Promethearchaeota
Description: Candidatus Lokiarchaeota archaeon (microbial mat metagenome) tRNA-Gln
Rfam family: tRNA
About the family: Transfer RNA (tRNA) molecules are approximately 80 nucleotides in length.
Source: RNAcentral
AGCCCGGUAGUGUAGCGGCCAAGCAUACGGGGCUUUGAACCCUGUGACAAUGUCAAGCACUCCGCUUGGGAUCGCAAACACGGUUCGAAUCCGUGCCGGGCUA